This 434-nucleotide ribosomal RNA is filed under the name uncultured Clostridium sp. RNAcentral's name for it is "partial 16S ribosomal RNA". It matches the Rfam family "Bacterial small subunit ribosomal RNA", at positions 341 to 792 of the family's 1533-position model. The record is from RNAcentral. Lineage: Bacteria; Bacillati; Bacillota; Clostridia; Eubacteriales; Clostridiaceae. RNAcentral also lists the same sequence under 1 other name.
ACGGGAGGCAGCAGUGGGGAAUAUUGCACAAUGGGCGAAAGCCUGAUGCAGCGACGCCGCGUGAGCGAUGAAGUAUUUCGGUACGUAAAGCUCUAUCAGCAGGGAAGAUAAUGACGGUACCUGACUAAGAAGCCCCGGCUAACUACGUGCCAGCAGCCGCGGUAAUACGUAGGGGGCAAGCGUUAUCCGGAUUUACUGGGUGUAAAGGGAGCGUAGGCGGCGUGGCAAGUCAGAAGUGAAAGCCCGGGGCUCAACCCCGGGACUGCUUUUGAAACUGUCAUGCUAGAGUGUCGGAGAGGUAAGUGGAAUUCCUAGUGUAGCGGUGAAAUGCGUAGAUAUUAGGAGGAACACCAGUGGCGAAGGCGGCUUACUGGACGAUAACUGACGCUGAGGCUCGAAAGCGUGGGGAGCAAACAGGAUUAGAUACCCUGGUA